GUAAGGUGUAGGAAUGUGCCAUAGUUCAUGAAGGAAGAUAAAGGCCUUGACACAGAGAUCUACUUUCCCCCUCAACGGUACCUGCCGUCAGAGCUGCAGACAAAUGAGAGGUGACGCUCGGCGGUCCAGCUUCUACCAGGAGACAGACAGACGGAGAGGAGGAGGAGGAAGAUCCCACUGAGCCCACGCCGGCCUGUAAUGAGACCCAACAUCCUGCCUGUUGCACUGAUUCCUUUACAAACUUUAACCUGCACAAGCACAUCAGCAGUCCUGAAAACAGCUUGCUGAGAGCAAAAAGACCAUCAGUGCAAAAUAUUCAUGCAUUUGAAAAGCAGGAAAUCACAUUCCUGCUCCCCAGAGGAUCAAACAUUUAGACUUUAAUGACCCCGUAAGACUCCAAGAAUAGUUUUUAUGCUCUGUGUCAUUUAAAUUGAUUUGUUUGGUGAGAACAUGGAUGGUUUUAGGCCUCAGGGUUUGUGUUUUGACCUACCAUGCUUGCAUAGAAGCCUUCAUAUAAAAAAUUAACUGGCUAAGUUUUAACAUGGAGGUCUGUGGGGACUGAGUCACUGCUGGAGCCUCCAACAGUGAGCAGUUUGGCUCCUGCUGCUGUGCAAGGUUACACCUGUUUAAUACCUGAGGCUAAAAGCACACCUCAGGUGUGUGAGGUAAUGAGGAACAGCGUCUGCAGAGUGUCAUUAAAUCUGCUUCUAUUUUAAUAUUCACUGGAUUUUUACCUUUGUUGGCUUCUCGGCAGCUUCUGUGUGCUCACUGCCAGUGGGCAGUCGAGGGAGUUAAACAGGGUCAAAGUUCACUGAACCAGGAAAACUUCAUUCAUUUCCUGCUGGAAUUCUGCCAACACACACACACACACUGACAUGCUUUCGGUUUCAUUGUUUGUGACAGUCGGGACAAAAACCCAGCGAGGCACAGCAGAGCUGUGGCUCUGUUGGCCUGUUCCUCUCACAUCCAUCCACACCUGUCAGUCAGUGCACCUGUCAGUCAGCCGGAGUGGGCGGGGUCAGACUUCAUGUCCUUCCAGGAGUUUUCUUCCACUGCAUAUGAGCUGUAGUUUGUCUCCCACUGCUCCUUUGUUAUAAACAAAA
Long non-coding RNA from Oreochromis niloticus (Nile tilapia), 1103 nucleotides. RefSeq lists it as uncharacterized. Lineage: Eukaryota; Metazoa; Chordata; Actinopteri; Cichliformes; Cichlidae. The transcript is spliced from 2 exons. The record is from RefSeq and is a predicted model, not a curated record.